This 467-nucleotide ribosomal RNA is filed under the name uncultured bacterium. Its description in RNAcentral is "bacterial SSU rRNA". It matches the Rfam family "Bacterial small subunit ribosomal RNA", at positions 28 to 477 of the family's 1533-position model. The record is from RNAcentral.
GAUGAACGCUGGCGGCGUGCCUAAUACAUGCAAGUCGAGCGAACGGAUAAGGAGCUUGCUCCUUUGAAGUUAGCGGCGGACGGGUGAGUAACACGUGGGUAACCUACCUAUAAGACUGGAAUAACUUCGGGAAACCGGAGCUAAUGCCGGAUAACAUUUGGAACCGCAUGGUUCUAAAGUAAAAGAUGGUUUUGCUAUCACUUAUAGAUGGACCCGCGCCGUAUUAGCUAGUUGGUAAGGUAACGGCUUACCAAGGCAACGAUACGUAGCCGACCUGAGAGGGUGAUCGGCCACACUGGAACUGAGACACGGUCCAGACUCCUACGGGAGGCAGCAGUAGGGAAUCUUCCGCAAUGGGCGAAAGUCUGACGGAGCAACGCCGCGUGAGUGAUGAAGGUUUUCGGAUCGUAAAACUCUGUUAUUAGGGAAGAACAAAUGUGUAAGUAACUGUGCACAUCUUGACGGUA